UAGGGAAUUUUGCGCAAUGGACGAAAGUCUGACGCAGCAACGCCGCGUGAGGGAUGACGGCCUUCGGUUGUAAACCUCUGUUGGAUGGGAAAAAGGUAAGCAAUAUUUGAUGGUACCAUUCGAGUAAGCACCGGCUAACUACGUGCCAGCAGCCGCGGUAAUACGUAGGGUGCAAGCGUUGUUCGGAAUCACUGGGCGUAAAGGGAGUGUAGGCGGGAUUGUAAGUUAGGAGUUUAAUCCACGGGCUCAACUCGUGGCCUGCUUUUAAUACUGCGGUUCUUGAGUAUGGGAGAGGGCGAUGGAAUUCCAGGUGUAGCGGUGGAAUGCGUAGAUAUCUGGAAGAACACCAGUAGCGAAGGCGGUCGCCUGGCCCAAUACUGACGCUGAUACUCGAAAGCUAGGGGAGCAAACAGGAUUAGAUACCCUGGUAGUCCUAGCCGUAAACGAUGAACACUAGUUGCUGGAGGAGUCAAUCUUUCGGUGACGAAGCUAACGCAUUAAGU
This 503-nucleotide ribosomal RNA is filed under the name uncultured bacterium. RNAcentral describes it as "bacterial SSU rRNA". It matches the Rfam family "Bacterial small subunit ribosomal RNA", at positions 355 to 865 of the family's 1533-position model. The record is from RNAcentral.